GAUGAAGAACGCAGCGAAAUGCGAUAAGUAGUGUGAAUUGCAGAAUUCAGUGAAUCAUCGAAUCUUUGAACGCACAUUGCGCCCCUUGGUAUUCCAUGGGGCAUGCCUGUUCGAGCGUCAUUUGUACCUUCAAGCUUUGCUUGGUGUUGGGUGUUUGUCCCGAGGGACUCGCCUUAAAGUAAUUGGCAGCCAGUGUCUGGUUUUGAAGCGCAGCACAAGUCGCGAUUCAAGGCUACACGCCCGCUUCCACAAGCCUUUUUUCACUUUUGACCUCGGAUCAGGUAGGGAUACCCGCUGAACUUAAGCAUAUCAAUAAGCGGAGGA
RNAcentral lists this unclassified non-coding RNA (324 nucleotides) under soil metagenome. RNAcentral's name for it is "partial contains 5.8S ribosomal RNA, internal transcribed spacer 2, and large subunit ribosomal RNA". The stretch from base 1 to 120 matches the Rfam family "5.8S ribosomal RNA", at positions 35 to 154 of the family's 154-position model. The record is from RNAcentral.